ACUUUAAUAAUAUAGAUGUAAUGGACUUCCAAAUUUUUAAUAACAUAAGCCAAUUUUUUUUUUUAACUUACUACUAUCCAUGUUUUCAAACAGUACUAUUUUUUAACUACUAUUCAUAUUGCCAAACAAUCUCAAUGUGUACUUCAACUUUAAUAAUAUAGAUAAGUCAAUUACGAUGGAAUUAAAAUACCCAAUAAUUACAUUAUUCUGUCAAGCAAAUAAAACAUGGUUUAAUAACAAAUACAAUUCGGUUUAACUUUUUGCUGCGACCACAUUGACGAGACCACAUUGAUGAAUCUCUACACAAGUUUUAAAUCAAAUCUCUUAGCAAAAAAAAAAAAAAAGUGCAUAAUUUUUUUUGUAACACCCACGUUCAUAAGUUAUUACUUGUAAGUUACUACUUGUAAGUUACAGCUAUCAAUACAAUACUAAAAGGGGAAUAAGAGCCUCAUUUAGGCUGUCCACAUAGGAUUGGAUAAUCAACCAAUCCGAAAAGACAUUUUUGACACGUCAGUAAAUCCUUAGAAAUGUGGGCUUCGUUACUUUUUUUUACCUCAAAAUGUUGAUGUUAAUCGGGCCCAUGGAGCCCAUUUCGUUGCUCUUCGUCUUCUUCGUUUCACUUUUCACUUUGAGAUAUGCUUGAAUGUUUUACAUUAAAUGUUCAUUAUGUUUAUCAGGUUCACAUUAUAUCACCUAAUCUUACCACGAUUUCGCAGUCAAUGCACUCUCCAAGGCGGUGCAUCUACAUCUAUAAAGAGGUUAGUCUACAUACCGUAAGCAUCGUCCUCACAAAUCCAAAUAACACUUGAAUCUGAUUGUUUUCAUGUGUUUGUCUCGAUACGUUUUCUCUUUUGUGUUUUCAUGUUUUUUCAGAUUGAAUCUAAUUAUCUUUGAUCAUCAAUUGUGUGUUUGAGAUCAUUCGAUUCUGAUUUUAUUAAUCUGAUAUCCGUAUCGGAAUUUAGGGCUAUUUAAAUCAAUUUCAGUUGAAUCGAUAUUUUUUUUCCGAAUUGGUUUAAGAUUGCAUAAACAAUAAUAAUCGUCACUGGAUUGAUCUCAGUGUGGGUUAAUCACUUCUCUAUAACCAGGACCAGGCCGACCAGAUCUUGGGAAGAAUAAACUCAGGUAGCAAGCUGAAUAAUUUUUUAAUAACGUCGCAAUAGCUAUAUCUGUUUUCUUUAAUCAUAUCAACUAGCUUGAGUAUGAUGUUCAGAAAUCAAUAACAAUGAGGAAAAAUCGCUCACUGAUUACCAAUACUUUCCAGAACCAUUUCUUCAAGAAAUAAUACUCGCUCAAGUAUAACAUCUGAGCUUCUUUGCUGGAGCUUUCUGAAGCUAAGCGCAGGAGGUAUGAGGCCCUGGGCCUUGGCACUUAACAUGUGUUCUUCCUGACAAAUGAUGCUAAUGUAAGUCCCAUAUGCUCACUACCAGCCACGAGAUCUUCUGAUGAACACUACGAAUCGCUUCUGAUCGUUUUUGUCUUAUCUACCAUUGGCUCAACACAAACCACAUGGAGAUCGAAAAUAUUUGCUGCUGCCAUUCAGUGUGAAGCAGACUUCGUCGGAAGUGUAUGGCAAAGAUUCUCUGUGAGGAGAUGGAGUUGAGAUGAGGAUGAGAGCUCCUACUUCUCUUUGAAGAAAUUUAUGGACGGUUCAGACUAUUACUCAGUUAGAGCAGGUGCUAAUUUGGAAAGAGCUUUCAUGAUGUUUUGUAUGCUCGCCGGCGGCGUUAAAGAAUUUCUAUUCUUCGGCACCGUUUUUGACUGUGCUAUUCCUGAGUUUGUAACGUGUUUUAAGAAGUGGCUUGGUUUUAUCAAGUCUUAUCAACUUCUGAUGGAUUUUUUUGGGCGUACGUUGCAAAACGUAUUGGCUUUGAAUGCAGCAGCCGAUUAGUCUCUCUUAAAUCUUUAUGUGACUAUCUCUCAACCUCUUUCCCUUUAACUCCAUCAAGAUAGGAAAUCCAUUACUUAAUCUAACUGAAAAUAUAAGUUUUUAGCCUCAUCUCCAAUUCUUCAAUCAAAAGAGUCAUGGUUCUUUUUUUUAAUCUUAUUAUCAAACUACCAUCUAAUGUCAAAAUAUUCAACUGUAAAGAAGACAGAAUGAGAAGAUGACCUCAGAAGCCCACUGGAGUGACAUAUGUUUUCUUAGACCUAAAGUUUUUCUCAACAUGUUCAACCAACAUAAAAAUGCA
This is a long non-coding RNA of Brassica rapa (field mustard), 2186 nucleotides long. RefSeq lists it as uncharacterized. The record is from RefSeq and is a predicted model, not a curated record. NCBI's taxonomy places the organism in Eukaryota, Viridiplantae, Streptophyta, Magnoliopsida, Brassicales, Brassicaceae.